This 254-nucleotide ribosomal RNA is filed under the name uncultured soil bacterium. RNAcentral's name for it is "partial 16S ribosomal RNA". It matches the Rfam family "Bacterial small subunit ribosomal RNA", at positions 26 to 262 of the family's 1533-position model. The record is from RNAcentral.
AGAUUGAACGCUGGCGGAAUGCUUUACACAUGCAAGUCGAACGGCAGCACGGGACUCAGGCAACUGAGCCCUGGUGGCGAGUGGCGAACGGGUGAGUAACAUAUCGGAACGUACCCAGUCGUGGGGGAUAACUCUCCGAAAGGAGAGCUAAAUACCGCAUACGUCCUGAGGAGAAAGCGGGGACCUAAGGGUAACUGAGGGCCUCGCGCGAUUGGAGCGGCCGAUAGUCGGAUUAGCUAGUUGGUGAGGUAAAG